AUGAAGGUGCACCUGGAGUCUUGGGGGCUCUGGGACGCGAUCCAAGGCAACGCACAACACGUGCGCGACGACAAGACGGCGCUCGGCGUUCUGUUCCGAGCCGUUCCCCCGGAGAUGCUCGGCGUCCUCGUCGUCAAGGAGACGGCGAAGGAGGCCUGGGAGACCAUCAAGGUCAUGCGCAUGGGGGUGCACCGGGUGCGCGAGGCGACCGCGCAACGACUGCGCGCGGAGUUCGAGCAGAUCACCUUCCGCGACGGCGAGACUCUCGACUCCUUCGGCAUGCGGAUCACCUCCCUAGUCAACCAGUUGCGUACGCUGGGGGACAACGUCGACGAGGUGCGCGUGAUCCAGAAGAUCCUUCGUGUCGUCCCUGCCCGCUACGCCCAGAUCGCAGUAGCGAUCGAGACGCUCCUUGACCUGACCACAAUCUCGAUCGAGGAGCUGAUCGGUCGACUGCGCACCACAGAGGAGCGCUGUGGUGGCGGGGCGGCUCAGGCCAGCGGAGGCUGCCAGCUGCUCAUGACGGAGCAGCAGUGGGACGCGCGGCGCCGGGAGCGCGAGCAGGGCCAGGGGUCCGGCUCGAACGGCGCCGGCAACGGGAACGGCAACGGGGGCGGCGACAAUCGCCGCCGUGGCAAGCCGCAGAACCAGAGGCGCGGCAACGACGCUCAAGGCCAAGGCGGCGGCAGCGGCCGCGACAACACCGGCAACGGCGGGCGCGACAUGUCUAAGGUGAAGUGUUACAAUUGCAAUAAAAAUGGCCACUUCUCCCGUGAUUGCACCGAGCCCCGGCGGGAACGAAAGGGGGAGGCUCACCUGGCGCAAGGUGGGGCUGAGGAGAGCUCGCUCCUGCUCGCGACGGCGGACGUGAGCACCACGGCCGAACCCACGCCAGAGCACGUACUGCUCAACGAAGAGCACUCCCAGGCGCGCGCAGCGGCAGACGGCCAGUCCUGCGACCUCGCCUGGUACCUCGACACGGGUGCGAGCAACCACAUGUCGGGCCGGCGAGAGAUCUUCUCGGCGCUGGACACCGGCGUCCGCGGCGCUGUGAAACUUGGGGACGGCUCGGCGGUCCAGAUCGAGGGGAGAGGGACGAUCCUCUUCCAAUGCCGCAACGGUGAGCACUUGGUACUGUCAGAUGUGUAUUACAUCCCAAAGCUCUGCAGCAACAUCGUCAGCAUCGGACAGUUGGACGAGCUCGCUUACGAGACCCACAUAAGCUUCGGCGUGCUCCAACUCCGUGAUCCGGGUGGGCGUCUCCUCGCGCGGGUGCAUCGGAACAAGGGGAGGCUGUACGUGCUGUAG
Molecule: ribosomal RNA, 1308 nt
Filed under: Triticum aestivum (bread wheat)
Lineage: Eukaryota; Viridiplantae; Streptophyta; Magnoliopsida; Poales; Poaceae
Description: partial small subunit ribosomal RNA
Source: RNAcentral